UUUUUCAAGUUCUUUUUCACGAGGUGUCAAAUAAUGCUUUUAAGAAACCCCUGCACAUAUCGCCUUUACCCUAGCCCUUACCUCUUCAAUUAAAACUCCUCAAGAAAGUAUAUGGAUAGACUAUAUACCACAAUAGACUUUUCUAGACAUUUAAUUUUAGUUUUAGAUAACUAUAACCUAACAUAUAUUACAGCUUAGGCUGACAAAUAUUUAGCCAGGAAUUAUGCAAACUGCCAAGUGUUCUUGCCCUUAAUAUCAGAUAAUAGUAAAGUAUGGCUCUUUUCUCUGCACUCAGCUGAACAUUUAUCUGUGGAGGAUGGAGUCCUAGCAGCACAGAAUUCUAGGCUGGAAAGGAUCUUAGAGAUCACCCCAUGCAACCCCUUGAUUUAGUUUUGUCAAAUUGCUCCAAGCUCUCCACAGAAGGAUGCUGGGCUCUCCUAAGUGAAACAGCUGUGGGCACUCAAGGAGGACAUGAUAAAUUAAAGGUGCUUUCUUUAUAACGUUAUGGCCAAAGGGCUGCAGGGAAAUAUGGUUUACAUUGCCUGACAUUUUACCUGUGUUGGGAAUGUAGCUAGAUGGUCUAUAAAUAAAGGGCAGCAAGGAAACAAGAGAUUCUCAACAGUGUUGGGAAUAAAAUGCAGUGUGUGAUAGACAUGGCUCGAAGUGGUAUGAGCUAGGAAAGACCUUUUUCUCCCAGCUUUGCCCAAGUAAUUGAUGGAUAAGGGAUAAAACACAAAAAUAAAUCAGUGUGCUAGAAGGUAAAGCAGGUGAGAGAAAGGACGGACAGAUGUAAGUCAGCAAGCAUAGAUUGCUAACUGUUGUCCACUUUGAUAGUAUCUGCAUGUUAUUUUCACUUUCAGUUCCUUUUUUAUAAAAAGAAAGACAUUCAAAACCAAUGGCUCCAGAUCAGUAUUUCAUGUAUUAUACAGCCUCAAUCAAUUUUCGCAUGCAUUUCUGUGGUCCCUUGGACCAAAUUAGCGACCAAAAUCUAGCCUGUUUUAAGGAAGGUAGCUACAUUGCGACUAAAUCCAGAUCUUCCUAUUUUACUGCUCCAUCUUGCCACAUAAUAGACUGCCUAUCCUCUAAUUCUUCCAAAGUACUACUAGAUCAAAUUUGACUGGGUAUCCUGUAUUUUUAUCUGCUAAAUCUUACUACCAUAUACUCCUGUGUUUGGUUUCUGCUAGUCGACCUAAUGAAGGAUGGCCAUCAGGUGUGCUUCGCCACCCUCUGUACCUAUUCUCUAUGCAGACAGACCC
This 1256-nucleotide long non-coding RNA is filed under the name Homo sapiens (human). Its description in RNAcentral is "HSALNT0306374". Lineage: Eukaryota; Metazoa; Chordata; Mammalia; Primates; Hominidae. The record is from RNAcentral.